This 253-nucleotide unclassified non-coding RNA is filed under the name uncultured Armatimonadota bacterium. RNAcentral's name for it is "uncultured Armatimonadetes bacterium contains 16S-23S intergenic spacer region". It matches the Rfam family "Bacterial small subunit ribosomal RNA", at positions 524 to 776 of the family's 1533-position model. The record is from RNAcentral. Lineage: Bacteria; Bacillati; Armatimonadota.
UACGGAGGGUGCAAGCGUUAAUCGGAAUUACUGGGCGUAAAGCGCACGCAGGCGGUCUGCUAAGCCAGAUGUGAAAGCCCCGGGCUCAACCUGGGAACUGCAUUUGGAACUGGCAGGCUAGAGUCUUGGAGAGGGGGGUAGAAUUUCCGGUGUAGCGGUGAAAUGCGUAGAUAUCAGGAAGAACACCAAUGGCGAAGGCGGCCUUCUGGACUGACACUGACACUGAGGUGCGAAAGCGUGGGUAGCAAACAGG